This 433-nucleotide ribosomal RNA is filed under the name uncultured bacterium. Its description in RNAcentral is "partial 16S ribosomal RNA". It matches the Rfam family "Bacterial small subunit ribosomal RNA", at positions 29 to 507 of the family's 1533-position model. The record is from RNAcentral.
GCGCACGCUGGCGGCAGGCCUCACACAUGCCAGUCGAACGAACCUUUCGGGGUUAGUGGCGGACGGGUGAGUAACACGUGGGAACGUGCCUUUAGGUUCGGAAUAACUCAGGGAAACUUGUGCUAAUACCGAAUGUGCCCUUCGGGGGAAAGAUUUAUCGCCUUUAGAGCGGCCCGCGUCUGAUUAGCUAGUUGGUUGAGGUAAUGGCUCACCAAGGCGACGAUCAGUAGCUGGUCUGAGAGGAUGAUCAGCCACAUUGGGACUGAGACACGGCCCAAACUCCUACGGGAGGCAGCAGUGGGGAAUCUUGCGCAAUGGGCGAAAGCCUGACGCAGCCAUGCCGCGUGAAUGAUGAAGGUCUUAGGAUUGUAAAAUUCUUUCACCGGGGACGAUAAUGACGGUACCCGGAGAAGAAGCCCCGGCUAACUUCGUG